GAGAAUGCCGGUAUGAGUAGCGAAAGAUAGGUGAGAAUCCUAUCCACCGAAUGACUAAGGUUUCCUGGGGAAGGCUCGUCCUCCCAGGGUUAGUCGGGACCUAAGUCGAGGCCGAGAGGCGUAGACGAUGGAUAACAGGUUGAGAUUCCUGUACUAGUUAAGUGCGUUUGAGCAAUGGAGGGACGCAGGAGGCUAAGAUGUGCAUUCUGUUGGAUUAGAAUGUCCAAGCAGUAAGUCUUGUGAAGAGUCAAAUGCUUUUCACUUUAAGGACAAGCUGUGAUGGGGAGCGAAAUUUAGUAGCGAAGCGUCUGA
This 312-nucleotide ribosomal RNA is filed under the name Lactobacillus delbrueckii subsp. bulgaricus. RNAcentral describes it as "partial 23S ribosomal RNA". It matches the Rfam family "Bacterial large subunit ribosomal RNA", at positions 1290 to 1597 of the family's 2925-position model. Lineage: Bacteria; Bacillati; Bacillota; Bacilli; Lactobacillales; Lactobacillaceae. The record is from RNAcentral.